UGGGGAAUAUUGCACAAUGGAGGGAACUCUGAUGCAGCGACGCCGCGUGAGUGAUGAAGGAAUUCGUUUCGUAAAACUCUGUUCUAUGGGAAGAAAAGGACUGUACCAUAGGAGAAAGCUCCGGCUAAAUACGUGCCAGCAGCCGCGGUAAUACGUAUGGAGCGAGCGUUGUCCGGAAUUAUUGGGCGUAAAGGGUGCGCAGGCGGCUUUACAAGUUGGAUGUGAAAUAUUGUGGCUCAACCACAAACGUGCAUCCAAAACUGCAAAGCUUGAGUUAAGAGAGGAAAGUGGAAUUCCUGGUGUAGCGGUGGAAUGCGUAGAUAUCAGGAGGAAUACCGGUGGCGAAGGCGACUUACUGGACUUAAACUGACGCUCAGGCACGAAAGCGUGGGGAGCAAACAGG
Molecule: ribosomal RNA, 403 nt
Filed under: Fusobacteriota bacterium
Lineage: Bacteria; Fusobacteriati; Fusobacteriota
Description: Fusobacteria bacterium partial 16S ribosomal RNA
Rfam family: Bacterial small subunit ribosomal RNA
Source: RNAcentral